AAAGAGUCCGAGUUAUUGUCAAGGGUCUUAUAUGCCAAGAUUCUUGUGAAGGUGCCACUGAGUAAGUAUAUAACAUGGCUUGACAAAAUAUGCAUAAAUGGUUGAAUAAUCUCGAUUAGGAUGGUGGAGGAAGGUGCUAUGGUGGAGGAAAGGAGAUGCUUUUAUGCGAAUGAGGCGAAUGAUCAAUAUUCACAAGCCUUUUCGAGAGAAAGUUGGGACCUGGUGGAAAAUAACUCACAUGACUCAAGAAGUUUAACAUAUGAUGGGAUAUGGACACCCUCUAUCAGCAACAGAUAUGGUGUUGGAAUUAGCUUGUAACAAGGAGUUCACUAUUCUAGUGGAAGCUCAAGAAGAGUGCGUAAACAAACAAAAUACAUUAAUGGUGAUGGGGACCAAAGGUGAUGUUGACUAUUGAUCUUUGUUGGUUAUUAGAAGGGAGAAACAUACUAAUAGAAGAAAAAAAGUUAUGGGAGGAUAGACAAUUUAGUGAAAAAAUGAGGGAAAAGUCUAGAGAAAAGUCUACCAAUUUUUUGAGUGGUUAGGGGGGGACAUAAGGGAUGAGGAGGUCAAGUAGAGGGAUGGAUUACUAACAGGGUUGGAUGUUUCCAAAUUCUCGCAAGAGCAGAUACAUAUGUUGUCAACUCAGUUUGAUAUUUGUCCUGGUAGAAUGGAAAAAGUUAAGAAGACCAUUAGGAAAGAAAAGAAGGGUAAGAAAAAUGUGUUUGCAAAUUGUGGGGCCACAGGGUCAUUGGAAAUUAUUGGGCCUUCACUACAUGCUGGCCCAGUGGUAUGCGUGAAUCUCCAAUUGGACUCUAAUCCUCCUAACAACAAUGAAAAAGGGACAAAAAAGCUAUGACACGACAACAUGGGCUAGCCUAAGUUGAAGGAGUAGUGUGGUCUACAACUUGUUGCAAUAGACGUGGGGUUGGAAGUAGGGGGUAAGAGCUUUGAGGAAGCAAUUCAGGGAGCUGACAUAAUCACAAUGGUGGGAGACAAAAGCCAAAGUAUAAUUGGAGAGGGAAGAGGCAAAGUCUAGUAUCGAAAUAAUGCAAUUUUAGGAAAGAGAAAAAUGUCAACAAGAGAAGGUAUUAGAAGUAAGGUGAUCAUAACUUAUGGAAGACUUGAACCUUAUUUUGGAAUACUGUGGAAAAGGAGGAGGAGGCAAAUGCUCUAUCGGAAGGGGGGGAAAUAACAACUACAAAUACCAAUAAGACUGAUGUUUGAGAAGCAAAAGGGAAGAAUGAUCAUCAAGAGUGUAAGAAGAACAACUAGUGAUGUUGCAUUACAAAAGGAUAACAACAAAACAAAAGUGAAGUGGAUACAUAAUGACAUUCAAGAGGUAUUCGGGGUCCUAAUUGAGGGAUGCUUGUAGAAGGUGGUACAUACUUACAAGGAAAUGUAGGGCAAAGAUAAGAAGGAGAUUGACAAAAUCACAAAAGUAACUGGAGGAAGGAAUGUAUGUGGUUUUUUAUGAAGAUAUUAAGCCUAAACAUUAAAGGUCUAGGGGUGUCAAGUG
Molecule: long non-coding RNA, 1516 nt
Filed under: Glycine max (soybean)
Lineage: Eukaryota; Viridiplantae; Streptophyta; Magnoliopsida; Fabales; Fabaceae
Description: long non-coding RNA (GMAX_LNC002168)
Source: RNAcentral